Molecule: ribosomal RNA, 374 nt
Filed under: uncultured eukaryote
Lineage: Eukaryota
Description: partial 18S ribosomal RNA
Rfam family: Eukaryotic small subunit ribosomal RNA
Source: RNAcentral
CAAGAGCGUAUGUAAAAGUUGUUGCAGUUAAAAAGCUCGUAGUUGAACCUUGGGUUUGGUUGGCCGGUCCGCUUUUGUGCGAGUACUGGAUUCAACCGAGCCUUUCCUUCUGGCUAACCAGUCGUUUCGGCGGCUGGCGAACCAGGAUUUUUACUUUGAGAAAAUUAGAGUGUUCAAAGCAGGCAUUAGCUUGAAUAUAUUAGCAUGGAAUAAUAGAAUAGGACGUUAUGGUUCUAUUUUGUUGGUUUCUAGGACCAUCGUAAUGAUUAAUAGGGACGGUCGGGGGCAUCAGUAUUCAGUUGUCAGAGGUGAAAUUCUUGGAUUUACUGAAGACUAACUACUGCGAAAGCAUUUGCCAAGGACGUUUUCAUUAA